CUACGGGCUGCUGCAGUGGGGAAUAUUGCACAAUGGGCGCAAGCCUGAUGUAGCCAUGCCGCGUGUAUGAAGAAGGCCUUCGGGUUGUAAAGUACUUUCAGCGGGGAGGAAGGGAGUAAAGUUAAUACCUUUGCUCAUUGACGUUACCCGCAGAAGAAGCACCGGCUAACUCCGUGCCAGCAGCCGCGGUAAUACGGAGGGUGCAAUCGUUAAUCGGAAUUACUGGGCGUAAAGCGCACGCAGGCGGUUUGUUAAGUCAGAUGUGAAAUCCCCGGGCUCAACCUGGGAACUGCAUCUGAUACUGGCAAGCUUGAGUCUCCUAGAGGGGGGUAGAAUUCCAGGUGUAGCGGUGAAAUGCGUAGAGAUCUGGAGGAAUACCGGUGGCGAAGGCGGCCCCCUGGACGAAGACUGACGCUCAGGUGCGAAAGCGUGGGGAGCAAACAGGAUUAGAUACCCGCGUAGUC
RNAcentral lists this ribosomal RNA (464 nucleotides) under uncultured bacterium. RNAcentral's name for it is "partial 16S ribosomal RNA". It matches the Rfam family "Bacterial small subunit ribosomal RNA", at positions 339 to 795 of the family's 1533-position model. The record is from RNAcentral.